Molecule: ribosomal RNA, 483 nt
Filed under: uncultured bacterium
Lineage: Bacteria
Description: bacterial SSU rRNA
Rfam family: Bacterial small subunit ribosomal RNA
Source: RNAcentral
AACUAACGCUGGCGGCGUGCCUAACACAUGCAAGUCGUACGAGAAAGUUGGCUUCGGCCGAUGAGUAAAGUGGCGCACGGGUGAGUAAUGCGUGGAUAAUCUGCCCUUUAGUUGGGAAUAACGUACCGAAAGGUGCGCUAAUACCUGAUAAUACUGCAUAACUACUGUUGUGUAGUCAAAGAAGGCCUCUGUUUACAAGCUUUUGCUGAAGGAUGAGUCCGCGUACCAUUAGCUGGUUGGUGGGGUAAUGGCCUACCAAGGCUACGAUGGUUAGCUGGUCUGAGAGGAUGAUCAGCCACACUGGAACUGAGACACGGUCCAGACUCCUACGGGAGGCAGCAGUGAGGAAUAUUGCGCAAUGGGGCAACCCUGACGCAGCAACGCCGCGUGAGUGAGGAAGGUUUUCGGACCGUAAAGCUCUGUCGAGCGGGAAGAAAUGUAUCAUGGCUAAUAUCCAAUGAUACUUGACGGUACCGCUAAAGG